Ochotona curzoniae (black-lipped pika) is the source of this 225-nucleotide long non-coding RNA. RefSeq lists it as uncharacterized. The transcript has 3 exons. The record is from RefSeq and is a predicted model, not a curated record. Lineage: Eukaryota; Metazoa; Chordata; Mammalia; Lagomorpha; Ochotonidae.
GAAGGGACACUGCAGGGACACCCCCUUCCUGACCGUCACACUCACUGAGGUCACCCGGGAAGGGACACUGCAGGGACACCCCCUUCCUGACCGUCACACUCACUGAGGUCACCUGGGAAGGGACACUGCAGGGACACCCCCUUCCUGCCCGUCAAAUUCUGUCACGCCCUGGAUGCUGCAGGUGUGACAUCCUGUGCCACCUGUUUGGCCCCCCACUGCCCUCUG